RNAcentral lists this ribosomal RNA (1376 nucleotides) under Staphylococcus aureus. RNAcentral describes it as "partial 23S ribosomal RNA". It matches the Rfam family "Bacterial large subunit ribosomal RNA", at positions 185 to 1561 of the family's 2925-position model. The record is from RNAcentral. Lineage: Bacteria; Bacillati; Bacillota; Bacilli; Caryophanales; Staphylococcaceae.
CCGGAGAACUGAAACAUCUUAGUACCCGGAGGAAGAGAAAGAAAAUUCGAUUCCCUUAGUAGCGGCGAGCGAAACGGGAAGAGCCCAAACCAAAAAGCUUGCUUGUUGGGGUUGUAGGACACUCUAUACGGAGUUACAAAGGACGACAUUAGACGAAUCAUCUGGAAAGAUGAAUCAAAGAAGGUAAUAAUCCUGUAGUCGAAAAUGUUGUCUCUCUUGAGUGGAUCCUGAGUACGACGGAGCACGUGAAAUUCCGUCGGAAUCUGGGAGGACCAUCUCCUAAGGCUAAAUACUCUCUAGUGACCGAUAGUGAACCAGUACCGUGAGGGAAAGGUGAAAAGCACCCCGGAAGGAGAGUGAAAUAGAACCUGAAACCGUGUGCUUACAAGUAGUCAGAGCCCGUUAAUGGGUGAUGGCGUGCCUUUUGUAGAAUGAACCGGCGAGUUACGAUUUGAUGCAAGGUUAAGCAGUAAAUGUGGAGCCGUAGCGAAAGCGAGUCUGAAUAGGGCGUUUAGUAUUUGGUCGUAGACCCGAAACCAGGUGAUCUACCCUUGGUCAGGUUGAAGUUCAGGUAACACUGAAUGGAGGACCGAACCGACUUACGUUGAAAAGUGAGCGGAUGAACUGAGGGUAGCGGAGAAAUUCCAAUCGAACCUGGAGAUAGCUGGUUCUCUCCGAAAUAGCUUUAGGGCUAGCCUCAAGUGAUGAUUAUUGGAGGUAGAGCACUGUUUGGACGAGGGGCCCCUCUCGGGUUACCGAAUUCAGACAAACUCCGAAUGCCAAUUAAUUUAACUUGGGAGUCAGAACAUGGGUGAUAAGGUCCGUGUUCGAAAGGGAAACAGCCCAGACCACCAGCUAAGGUCCCAAAAUAUAUGUUAAGUGGAAAAGGAUGUGGCGUUGCCCAGACAACUAGGAUGUUGGCUUAGAAGCAGCCAUCAUUUAAAGAGUGCGUAAUAGCUCACUAGUCGAGUGACACUGCGCCGAAAAUGUACCGGGGCUAAACAUAUUACCGAAGCUGUGGAUUGUCCUUUGGACAAUGGUAGGAGAGCGUUCUAAGGGCGUUGAAGCAUGAUCGUAAGGACAUGUGGAGCGCUUAGAAGUGAGAAUGCCGGUGUGAGUAGCGAAAGACGGGUGAGAAUCCCGUCCACCGAUUGACUAAGGUUUCCAGAGGAAGGCUCGUCCGCUCUGGGUUAGUCGGGUCCUAAGCUGAGGCCGACAGGCGUAGGCGAUGGAUAACAGGUUGAUAUUCCUGUACCACCUAUAAUCGUUUUAAUCGAUGGGGGGACGCAGUAGGAUAGGCGAAGCGUGCGAUUGGAUUGCACGUCUAAGCAGUAAGGCUGAGUAUUAGGCAAAUCCGGUACUCGUUAAGGCUGAGC